This is a long non-coding RNA of Drosophila gunungcola (fruit fly), 939 nucleotides long. RefSeq lists it as uncharacterized. The transcript has 2 exons. The record is from RefSeq and is a predicted model, not a curated record. NCBI's taxonomy places the organism in Eukaryota, Metazoa, Arthropoda, Insecta, Diptera, Drosophilidae.
AGCAAUAUAUUUUACAUCAAUAAGUCCGUUGGAUUAACGUUAAAAAACGUUAGCAAGAAAAACAUGUAUUAAAAUUGUGUAUAUUAUAACAAGUUAAAGCCUUUCAGAAAUGUAGAUCGCAAGAAGCUGACAGCUAAGAAAGAAAGCUAAACUUAAUUUAUGGUACGGGGAAGGUCUUUAAAGCCAUUGAUCAGUAUCAAAUUACGCACUUAGUCACCAACAAUGAAAAUUCUUAUCUCUGGAUACACACAAAGAUGCUUCCGGCACGGAAAAUGGAAAACGGUGGGGAGGCAUUGGGUGGCUGGAAAAGCUCCGAGAUGAGCGGAGGGUGCAACCAAUCAGCGAGGCCCGCAAAAAUGUUACUUUUUCGUUUUCUUGAUGGAAACGCAGCAGCGAAUGAGAAAUGUAGAGGAAAAGCGUUAGCACUCGCUCGCACACAUGUGGACGCCGCGAAAAAAGUGGCACAAAAACGGCAAACUUUUGUGUGUUUUCUCGACGGUUGUCUAAAAAUAAGAAUAAAAGAGGUGCAGCCAAUAAGAAGGAGACAGCGGCAGACAAACAGCAAACAAUACAGCAACCAACGAGAUGCGAUGGAGCAUGCCAGAAAUGGUAGCAGGAAUCGCUGAAAACAGGGGCAAAACUAAAAAAGUCAACCAAACAAUUGUAUGCGAAAAAAUGGCUUAAAACAGCAGCGCACGGCAACAGGCAGAGGACAAUGGGUACAGGAUUCUACUAAAAGGGUGCGUAAAAUAUCCGGAUUCGAGGACCAAACUCAUGGCUCAAAGGAAUCAUUCCCUCCUGAAAGCGACAAUGUAACAGCGACUUACGUUGAUAGUCCUAACAAUAGUUAUAACAAAGUUUUUCCAUAUUAAAAAGAUGUUUAAUUGAAUUUUCCGGAUAGUCUUGGCAAUAGUAAAAAUAAAAUGUUUUCUUUAUUUA